Molecule: small nuclear RNA, 107 nt
Organism: Eptesicus fuscus (big brown bat)
Lineage: Eukaryota; Metazoa; Chordata; Mammalia; Chiroptera; Vespertilionidae
Source: RefSeq, a predicted model, not a curated record
GUGCUCGCUUCGGCAACACAUGUACAAAAAUUGGAACCAUACAGAGAACAUUAGCAUGGCCCCUGCACAAAGAUGAUGUGCAAAUUCAUGAAGCAUUCCACGUUAUU